Mesocricetus auratus (golden hamster) is the source of this 1098-nucleotide long non-coding RNA. RefSeq lists it as uncharacterized. The transcript is spliced from 2 exons. NCBI's taxonomy places the organism in Eukaryota, Metazoa, Chordata, Mammalia, Rodentia, Cricetidae. The record is from RefSeq and is a predicted model, not a curated record.
GGCAGCGUGGGUUUGUAAACUCCCUGCAGCAGCUCCCUGGAGGAAGAUGCUUCUGGACCCCAGAUCAGCUAUUUGGUUAGUCUUGGCAAUCUGGGUGCAGAGGCUGCAGGAAUGCAGGAGGCACUGCCAGGAGAGGAAGGAGCAGCCCCAGCAUGCUAAGCGUGGGCUUCUGAAUGCAUCGCAGAUUUCCUCAGGGCACAGCGAGGCAACACCCAAAGGACAUGAUAGGCAUGUCCUUCUGUGAACCUGUUUCCCAUAGAGUCACAAGACAGCAGCCCUGGCCUCACCGGCUGAGGAAAUGAAAGCUCUGCCUUAUCCAGGUGUUGCGAAGGUGGAUGGAAGAAAACAGUCAAGGCUUCAUCCUUGCAUCUCUGAAAUCCUGCAGGACAUCUCCCUGAAGCAUGCCCUAUCGUGGAGCCAGCAUCUCCAGACGCCACCCCUCCUUAUCUGCAUUCAGGGAAGAGAAUCCAAGCAACGGGAGGCAGGGCUCAGUUACACAGCUGUGUGGAGAUUCUCCCCCAGUCCUCGGGCUGUCUUCCUUGAAUUCACAAUUUAAAAAAAUUUCUUUCUUUUUUUUCAGGAAUGAGGAAGUUGCUAAGUGGAUUCUCACCAUUUGAUUUCUUAUUCUUUUCCCAAAUAAGCCAAAUACUUGGUGGAGGAGUUGAGCGAGGGCGAUGAGCAAGGGUGUUGAGGCAGGAGGCUGGCCAGGUCAUGGGACACCUGCCAGAGAGAGCCACGGACAACGGGCAGGCUUCGCCUCUGGGGACAUCCAUCCUUUUCGCAGAGGAGCAAGGAUAGCGCAUGUGGGACAGAUGAAGUUGGCUGUGUGUCUCAAAGUGCCUCCAUCUCCCAGCCCACCUGCCUGCCUUAUAGCCCCUAUAGUCCCCUCUCUCCAGAGUCCCAGGCCCCUCUGUCCUGGGCAGGAGUGACACUAUCUGGUCUCCAGCCCUCCACACUGCACAAUGGACCCCAAGAAUGUGAAGCUGUUGCAGGUCACACAGUCCAAGUCCUAUGGGCUUCCCCCUCCUCCUCCACACUGGCUUGGCUUUGCUGGCCCUGGAAUCUGUGGAAAAAUAAACUUGAGAGGUGAAAAGUUGA